ACUCAAAGGAAUUGACGGGGACCCGCACAACCGGUGGAGCGUGUGGUUCAAUUCGAGACGAAGCGAAAAACCUCACCAGGGCUUGACAUGUAACCGUUUAUUCUGGUGGAAACAUCGGGAAAUCCGCAAGGAUGGUUACACAGGUGCUGCAUGGCUGUCGUCAGCUCGUGCCGUGAGGUGUUCCCUUAAGUGGGGAAACGAGCGCAACCCCUGUCUAAUGUUAAAUUAUUCAUUAGAGACGGUCCCAAUUUUUGGGAAGGAAGGAAGGGUAGACGUCAAGUCAGCACGGUCCUUAUGCCCUGGGCUACACACACCCUACAAUGGCGAAGAACAAAGGGUUGCAAGCCGGUAACGGUAAGCUAAUCUCUGAAAUUUCGCCUCAGUUCAGAUUGGGGGCUGAAACCCGCCCUCAUGAAGUCGGAAUCGGUAGUAAUCGCGGAUCAGCAGGCCGCGGUGAAUACGUUCUCGGGUCUUGUACACACCGCCCGU
RNAcentral lists this ribosomal RNA (489 nucleotides) under uncultured bacterium. RNAcentral describes it as "partial 16S ribosomal RNA". It matches the Rfam family "Bacterial small subunit ribosomal RNA", at positions 899 to 1397 of the family's 1533-position model. The record is from RNAcentral.